GUCUGCGGCGGAUUAGGUUGUUGGCGGGGUAACGGCCCACCAAGCCCAUGAUCCGUGCCGGCCAUGUGAGUGGGAGCCGGAAGAUGGAUACUGAGACAAAGAUCCAGGUUCUACGGAACGCAGCAGUUGCGAAAUCUCCGCAAUGCGCGCAAGCGUGACGGGGGGACUCCAAGUGCCAACCUACUAGGUUGGCUUUUGUGAAGUGUAAAUAGCUUCACGAAUAAGGGCUGGGCAAGACUGGUGCCAGCCUCCGCGGUAAAACCAGCAGCUCUAGUGGUGGUCGGUCUUAUUGGGCUUAAAGCGUCCGUAGUCGGUCUAUUAAGUUUUUUGUGAAAUCCUGAGGCUUAACUUCAGGGCUCGCAGAAAAUACUGUUAGGCUUGAGGCCGGGAGGGGCCAGAGGUAUUCCUGGGGUAGCGGUGAAAUGCUAUAAUCCUAGGAAGACCACCGGUGGCGAAGGCGUUUGGCUUGAACGGGCCUGACGAUGAGGGACGAGAGCUAGGGGAGCAAACCGGAUUAGAUACCCGGGUAGUCCUAGCCGUAAACGAUGCGAGCUGAGUGUU
RNAcentral lists this ribosomal RNA (561 nucleotides) under uncultured archaeon. Its description in RNAcentral is "bacterial SSU rRNA". It matches the Rfam family "Archaeal small subunit ribosomal RNA", at positions 213 to 775 of the family's 1478-position model. The record is from RNAcentral.